Molecule: ribosomal RNA, 758 nt
Filed under: uncultured Prevotella sp.
Lineage: Bacteria; Pseudomonadati; Bacteroidota; Bacteroidia; Bacteroidales; Prevotellaceae
Description: bacterial SSU rRNA
Rfam family: Bacterial small subunit ribosomal RNA
Source: RNAcentral
GAUGAACGCUAGCUACAGGCUUAACACAUGCAAGUCGAGGGGCAGCGGGUUGAAAGCUUGCUUUCAAUGCCGGCGACCGGCGCACGGGUGCGUAACGCGUAUCAAACCUGCCUCAUACUCGGGGGUAGCCUUGCGAAAGUAAGAUUAAUACCCGAUGUUGUUGCUUUCUCGCAUGGGAGAGUAACCAAAGAUUUAUCGGUAUGAGAUGGUGAUGCGUCCGAUUAGGUAGUAGGCGGGGUAACGGCCCACCUAGCCUUCGAUCGGUAGGGGUUCUGAGAGGAAGGUCCCCCACACUGGAACUGAGACACGGUCCAGACUCCUACGGGAGGCAGCAGUGAGGAAUAUUGGUCAAUGGGCGAGAGCCUGAACCAGCCAAGUAGCGUGCAGGAUGACGGCCCUCCGGGUUGUAAACUGCUUUUAGUUGGGAAUAAAAAAAGGGACUUGUCCCUUCUUGUAUGUACCUUCAGAAAAAGGACCGGCUAAUUCCGUGCCAGCAGCCGCGGUAAUACGGAAGGUCCAGGCGUUAUCCGGAUUUAUUGGGUUUAAAGGGAGCGUAGGCGGAUUGUUAAGUCAGCGGUUAAAGGGUGUGGCUCAACCAUGCAUUGCCGUUGAAACUGGCGAUCUUGAGUGCAGACAGGGAUGCCGGAAUUCGUGGUGUAGCGGUGAAAUGCUUAGAUAUCACGAAGAACUCCGAUCGCGAAGGCAGGUGUCCGGGCUGCAACUGACGCUGAGGCUCGAAAGUGUGGGUAUCAAACAGG